AACGAACGCUGGCGGCGCGCCUAAUACAUGCAAGUCGAGCGAGAAGACGUAGCAAUACGUUUGUAAAGCGGCGAACGGGUGAGGAAUACAUGGGUAACCUACCCUCGAGUGGGGAAUAACUAGCCGAAAGGUUAGCUAAUACCGCGUACGCUCCUUGGACUUCGGUUCAGGGAGGAAAGCGAUACCGUGGGUAUCGCGCUCUUGGAUGGGCUCAUGUCCUAUCAGCUUGUUGGUGAGGUAACGGCUCACCAAGGCUUCGACGGGUAGCUGGUCUGAGAGGACGAUCAGCCACACUGGCACUGCGACACGGGCCAGACUCCUACGGGAGGCAGCAGUAAGGAAUAUUGCGCAAUGGGCGAAAGCCUGACGCAGCGACGCCGCGUGGGGGAUGAAGGUCUUCGGAUUGUAAACCCCUUUCGGGAGGGAAGAUGGAACGAGCAAUCGUUCGGACGGUACCUCCAGAAGCAGCCACGGCUAACUUCGUGCCAGCAGCCGCCGU
RNAcentral lists this ribosomal RNA (499 nucleotides) under uncultured bacterium. RNAcentral's name for it is "bacterial SSU rRNA". It matches the Rfam family "Bacterial small subunit ribosomal RNA", at positions 29 to 521 of the family's 1533-position model. The record is from RNAcentral.